AAAUUGAAGAGUUUGAUCAUGGCUCAGAUUGAACGCUGGCGGCAGGCCUAACACAUGCAAGUCGAGCGGUAGCACAGAGAGCUUGCUCUCGGGUGACGAGCGGCGGACGGGUGAGUAAUGUCUGGGAAACUGCCUGAUGGAGGGGGAUAACUACUGGAAACGGUAGCUAAUACCGCAUAACGUCGCAAGACCAAAGAGGGGGACCUUCGGGCCUCUUGCCAUCAGAUGUGCCCAGAUGGGAUUAGCUAGUAGGUGGGGUAAUGGCUCACCUAGGCGACGAUCCCUAGCUGGUCUGAGAGGAUGACCAGCCACACUGGAACUGAGACACGGUCCAGACUCCUACGGGAGGCAGCAGUGGGGAAUAUUGCACAAUGGGCGCAAGCCUGAUGCAGCCAUGCCGCGUGUAUGAAGAAGGCCUUCGGGUUGUAAAGUACUUUCAGCGAGGAGGAAGGCGUUAAGGUUAAUAACCUUAGCGAUUGACGUUACUCGCAGAAGAAGCACCGGCUAACUCCGUGCCAGCAGCCGCGGUAAUACGGAGGGUGCAAGCGUUAAUCGGAAUUACUGGGCGUAAAGCGCACGCAGGCGGUCUGUCAAGUCGGAUGUGAAAUCCCCGGGCUCAACCUGGGAACUGCAUUCGAAACUGGCAGGCUAGAGUCUUGUAGAGGGGGGUAGAAUUCCAGGUGUAGCGGUGAAAUGCGUAGAGAUCUGGAGGAAUACCGGUGGCGAAGGCGGCCCCCUGGACAAAGACUGACGCUCAGGUGCGAAAGCGUGGGGAGCAAACAGGAUUAGAUACCCUGGUAGUCCACGCCGUAAACGAUGUCGACUUGGAGGUUGUUCCCUUGAGGAGUGGCUUCCGGAGCUAACGCGUUAAGUCGACCGCCUGGGGAGUACGGCCGCAAGGUUAAAACUCAAAUGAAUUGACGGGGGCCCGCACAAGCGGUGGAGCAUGUGGUUUAAUUCGAUGCAACGCGAAGAACCUUACCUACUCUUGACAUCCACGGAAUUUAGCAGAGAUGCUUUAGUGCCUUCGGGAACCGUGAGACAGGUGCUGCAUGGCUGUCGUCAGCUCGUGUUGUGAAAUGUUGGGUUAAGUCCCGCAACGAGCGCAACCCUUAUCCUUUGUUGCCAGCGGUUCGGCCGGGAACUCAAAGGAGACUGCCAGUGAUAAACUGGAGGAAGGUGGGGAUGACGUCAAGUCAUCAUGGCCCUUACGAGUAGGGCUACACACGUGCUACAAUGGCGUAUACAAAGAGAAGCGACCUCGCGAGAGCAAGCGGACCUCAUAAAGUACGUCGUAGUCCGGAUUGGAGUCUGCAACUCGACUCCAUGAAGUCGGAAUCGCUAGUAAUCGUAGAUCAGAAUGCUACGGUGAAUACGUUCCCGGGCCUUGUACACACCGCCCGUCACACCAUGGGAGUGGGUUGCAAAAGAAGUAGGUAGCUUAACCUUCGGGAGGGCGCUUACCACUUUGUGAUUCAUGACUGGGGUGAAGUCGUAACAAGGUAACCGUAGGGGAACCUGCGGUUGGAUCACCUCCUUACCUGAA
This is a ribosomal RNA of 1546 nucleotides. It matches the Rfam family "Bacterial small subunit ribosomal RNA".